GUGAGGAAUAUUGGUCAAUGGACGGAAGUCUGAACCAGCCAAGUAGCGUGCAGGAUGACGGCCCUAUGGGUUGUAAACUGCUUUUAUGCGGGGGUAAAGUGAGUGACGUGUCAUUCAUUGCAAGUACCGCAAGAAUAAGGACCGGCUAAUUCCGUGCCAGCAGCCGCGGUAAUACGGAAGGUCCUGGUGUUAUCCGGAGUUAUUGGGUUUAAAGGGAGCGUAGGCCGUCAGGCAAGCGUGUUGUGAAAUGUCGUGGCUCAACCAUGGACUUGCAGCGCGAACUGCCCGACUUGAGUGCGCAGAAAGCAGGCGGAAUUUGUGGUGUAGCGGUGAAAUGCUUAGAUAUCACGAAGAACCCCGAUUGCGAAGGCAGCCUGCUGUAGCGCUACUGACGCUGAAGCUCGAAAGUGCGGGUAUCGAACAGGAUUAGAUACCCGUGUAGUCC
Molecule: ribosomal RNA, 445 nt
Filed under: uncultured bacterium
Lineage: Bacteria
Description: partial 16S ribosomal RNA
Rfam family: Bacterial small subunit ribosomal RNA
Source: RNAcentral